CGGUGGGGUGCCGGAGUGGUUUAACGGCUCCGAUUUACAUUCGGCAAAGCGGCGCUAGCACCACCGCUCAGGGGUUCGAAUCCCUUACCCACCGA
This 95-nucleotide transfer RNA is filed under the name Bryobacterales bacterium. RNAcentral's name for it is "tRNA-Val". It matches the Rfam family "tRNA". From Rfam's summary of the family: Transfer RNA (tRNA) molecules are approximately 80 nucleotides in length. Their secondary structure includes four short double-helical elements and three loops (D, anti-codon, and T loops). Further hydrogen bonds mediate the characteristic L-shaped molecular structure. tRNAs have two regions of fundamental functional importance: the anti-codon, which is responsible for specific mRNA codon recognition, and the 3' end, to which the tRNAs corresponding amino acid is attached (by aminoacyl-tRNA synthetases). tRNAs cope with the degeneracy of the genetic code in two manners: having more than one tRNA (with a specific anti-codon) for a particular amino acid; and 'wobble' base-pairing, i.e. permitting non-standard base-pairing at the 3rd anti-codon position. Lineage: Bacteria; Pseudomonadati; Acidobacteriota; Terriglobia; Bryobacterales. The record is from RNAcentral.